RNAcentral lists this ribosomal RNA (741 nucleotides) under uncultured Mycobacterium sp. RNAcentral describes it as "bacterial SSU rRNA". It matches the Rfam family "Bacterial small subunit ribosomal RNA", at positions 172 to 913 of the family's 1533-position model. The record is from RNAcentral. Lineage: Bacteria; Bacillati; Actinomycetota; Actinomycetes; Mycobacteriales; Mycobacteriaceae.
GAUAGGACCUUUAGGCGCAUGUCUUUAGGUGGAAAGCUUUUGCGGUGUGGGAUGGGCCCGCGGCCUAUCAGCUUGUUGGUGGGGUGAUGGCCUACCAAGGCGACGACGGGUAGCCGGCCUGAGAGGGUGUCCGGCCACACUGGGACUGAGAUACGGCCCAGACUCCUACGGGAGGCAGCAGUGGGGAAUAUUGCACAAUGGGCGCAAGCCUGAUGCAGCGACGCCGCGUGGGGGAUGACGGCCUUCGGGUUGUAAACCUCUUUCACCAUCGACGAAGGUUCGGGUUUUCUCGGAUUGACGGUAGGUGGAGAAGAAGCACCGGCCAACUACGUGCCAGCAGCCGCGGUAAUACGUAGGGUGCGAGCGUUGUCCGGAAUUACUGGGCGUAAAGAGCUCGUAGGUGGUUUGUCGCGUUGUUCGUGAAAUCUCACGGCUUAACUGUGAGCGUGCGGGCGAUACGGGCAGACUAGAGUACUGCAGGGGAGACUGGAAUUCCUGGUGUAGCGGUGGAAUGCGCAGAUAUCAGGAGGAACACCGGUGGCGAAGGCGGGUCUCUGGGCAGUAACUGACGCUGAGGAGCGAAAGCGUGGGGAGCGAACAGGAUUAGAUACCCUGGUAGUCCACGCCGUAAACGGUGGGUACUAGGUGUGGGUUUCCUUCCUUGGGAUCCGUGCCGUANCUAACGCAUUAAGUACCCCGCCUGGGGAGUACGGCCGCAAGGCUAAAACUCAAAGGAAUUGA